Long non-coding RNA from Phyllopteryx taeniolatus (common seadragon), 2750 nucleotides. RefSeq lists it as uncharacterized. NCBI's taxonomy places the organism in Eukaryota, Metazoa, Chordata, Actinopteri, Syngnathiformes, Syngnathidae. The transcript has 3 exons. The record is from RefSeq and is a predicted model, not a curated record.
CGCUAUACAGCGUGGCCUCCAGCUCCUCGAUCCUCUGCACAGCCAGCCAUAUACGCCACAAACACACACACACACGCAAACAUAACGGCAUGCACAUGCAGAUGAAAAAACCCACAAAGGCAUGCACAAGAAAUUAAUAUGAGGCACACAAACACACAACAAUGUGAUCAUGGCAGAUGCGGGUAACGCUCUUACACCUUGUUACGGUUGACCCUCGCAUGGUAACUACUGUAUUUUCACGACCAUAAGGCGCACUUAAAAGUCUUACAUUUUCUCCAAAAUGGACGGGGCGCCUUAUAAUGCGGCGCACCGAGUUCCAACAUCUAUAAAUGUUGUUGUGUGAUGAGCGCUCCACUUGACUUUUUUUUUUUUGGACCGUUUGAUUGAUUGCGAGCAUUUCCUGCCGAGACGCUGCUUAUACAGAGGAAAAGCGGACAUGGCUGAGGACAGCAUGCAGACGUAAAGGGGGAAUUGUGUGUGAAGUACCCCAGUAGGUAUAUAGCGCCGGGGUGUCCAUUGUGAAAAACAAAAUCGGUUUGGCUAAGGACCCCCGAAAAUGGCACCUAGAAGAGUCACGCUUACGAAGCACAGUUUAAAUUGCAAGCUGUCAGUUAUGCGGAGGAACAUGGGAAUCGAGCAGCCGCGAGAGAAUUCAAGAUCAACGAAUCUAUGGUGUGCAAGUGGAGGAAGCAGGAAAACGAGCUUCGCCAAGUCAAGAAGACGAAACUGAGUUUCCGCGGAAACAAGGCGAGAUGGCCCGAGUUGGAAGACCAACUCGAGCAAUGGAUUAAUGAGCAAAGAACAGCCGGUCUCUACAGUCACCAUUCGACUGAGGGCAAUAACGCUUGCAGAAGAAAUGAAAAUUGAACAUUUUCAAGGAGGUCCGUCUUGGUGCUUUUGUUUUAUGAAACGGCGCCAUUUAUCCAUCCGGGCAAGGACUACCGUGGCGCAGCAACUUCCGGCGGAUUACAAGGAAAAGCUGGUUUGAGAGCGAUGGAUGACAGAUGGCGAACACAGCUUUACUAAGACUGGGAGGCAACGCAGGGCGAGUUACACCACCAUAUGUGAAUGGAUUGUGGAUGCUUGGGCUAAGAUGUCUGCUCGCACUGUUGUAAAAGCCGGCAUGAUUUCUGAGGAGCCGCACGGCAACGAGACUGACUCCGACGAGUACGAGAGGGAACCUGACGUGUUUGAUAGAGAACUUGCCCAGCUGUUCAUUUCGGAUACGGAAUAUGAGGACUUUGAUGGAUUUGUGGAUGAGGAUUGAUCAAAAAAUAACGGCUCACCUUUUCACACAGAGAUAUGACUGUACCGGCCUGGAUCACUGCAACCUGCUCCUCAUUUCGGAGAUUCUGGACAGGCAAAUAUUCCAGCACCCGGAAUUCCAGCAGCUCAUUCUGGUCCCGAGCAUCCUGAACCUCGGCCUGGAGCCGUGACUCGGCCUGCUGCAGUGCACACAUCUGCAAACAAGAGUAGAUCAUUAAUAUAGUAUCGGUGGUUUGGCAGGGUCUCAAUGCACUAAGAAUUGUCUGGAUGUAAUUUAAACGAAAUGAGACUUCAUUUACUCUAUAGUGGUGGUACACGUACAGUGAGAUUCACACAAAUGUUAACAUUUUCAUUAUGGAGUUGCACAACAUUGGGACACCACCUCUUUUUCAUAAACAUUGAAAGAAAGCUAUUCAUUUAUAAUAAGAGCAUAAGCAUAUAACUAAUGUUUAUAAUGGUAGUUUUUCAGAGACGUAGGACUGCACUGUAUCAUUUUGAGAGGUGUUUAUAUUUUGGUUUGUGUGUACCCCUCGUCUCGCCCAAUAUCAGCUUAAAUAAGCUCCAGCGUACCCGCAAACCUAAUAAACACAGGCAAUAUUUGUUGCAAAAUAUAAAAAAAUACUACUUAGUACGAAUCACUCCUAAACCACUGCCAUUAAGAUACCGUUGAAAUACUUUCUAAAAGACAAAGCUUUGUAAAGGCUGAAUUAGAGCUACGUUAUCUUACCUAAUGACCUUGUGAUGUACCCAAUAUUGGGGCCAGUGAUCAUAUACUACAGCAGUAUGUAAACUACCUUUUCAUGAAGUUCCUGGUUCAUCCUGAGCAAGUACUGCUUCUCAUCCACCCACUUUGAGUCCUGCCACAGCAACCAGACAGAACAUCAGAAAUAAAUGGCACUCACAGGCGGAGGCAGACAGUGGAAGAGCAGUAAGAGAGGAAAAUGUCAGAACUCAAACAAAGCUGCCAGAUAGUGGCCAGUGCCUCUAAUUCCAAAGGACACAUGCAAAGGGAACAUAGACACAAAGAGAGAAUAACAGAGUGGCAGAAGCAAAACUUUAUUGGUACAAAGAAAGGAAGCCCUCUUAAGAGGUAACGAGGAAAAGCAUGCUCAUAAAGCCACACUCUUCAAGAUGUUUACAGUGACAGAAGGCAAUCAGAGAAGAAAUACAGCAGAGCAGCAAAUCACAACACUGCUGGAUCAUGCAUGCAUGCAGCAACACAAAAGAUUCAUUCAAAAUAAAACAUGCGUACCGGUACUUAUCAGACAGUGGCAAAGUUAGGUGGAUAAGCCAAGACUUUACUAUAUAAGCAUUUGUUUUUGAUCCAAUAUAAAAUAUAUGUAGUACCGUAAUUUCUCGUGUAAAAUGCGCAUUUCACCCCACCCCCCCAAAACAUUGUCAAAAGUCAAUAGUGCGCUUAAUACAUAGGUAUAGGGGAAAAUGGAAAAAAACUUUCACAUUUUAUAAAUGUAUGCCGCCAUUUA